RNAcentral lists this ribosomal RNA (434 nucleotides) under uncultured bacterium. RNAcentral describes it as "partial 16S ribosomal RNA". It matches the Rfam family "Bacterial small subunit ribosomal RNA", at positions 29 to 507 of the family's 1533-position model. The record is from RNAcentral.
AGCGAACGCUGGCGGCAGGCCUAACACAUGCAAGUCGAACGAACCUUUCGGGGUUAGUGGCGGACGGGUGAGUAACACGUGGGAACGUGCCUUUAGGUUCGGUAUAACUCAGGGAAACUUGUGCUAAUACCGAAUGUGCCCUUCGGGGGAAAGAUCUAUCGCCUUUAGAGCGGCCCGCGUCUGAUUAGCUAGUUGGUUGAGGUAAUGGCUCACCAAGGCGACGAUCAGUAGCUGGUCUGAGAGGAUGAUCAGCCACAUUGGGACUGAGACACGGCCCAAACUCCUACGGGAGGCAGCAGUGGGGAAUCUUGCGCAAUGGGCGAAAGCCUGACGCAGCCAUGCCGCGUGAAUGAUGAAGGUCUUAGGAUUGUAAAAUUCUUUCACCGGGGACGAUAAUGACGGUACCCGGAGAAGAAGCCCCGGCUAACUUCGUG